AACGAACGCUGGCGGCGCGCCUAAUACAUGCAAGUCGGGCGAGAAGACGUAGCAAUACGUUUGUAAAGCGGCGAACGGGUGAGGAAUACAUGGGGUAACCUACCCUCGAGUGGGGAAGUAACUAGCCGAAAGGUUAGCUAAUACCGCGUACGCUCCUUGGACUUCGGUUCAGGGAGGAAAGCGAUACCGUGGGUAUCGCGCUCUUGGAUGGGCUCAUGUCCUAUCAGCUUGUUGGUGAGGUAACGGCUCACCAAGGCUUCGACGGGUAGCUGGUCUGAGAGGACGAUCAGCCACACUGGCACUGCGACACGGGCCAGACUCCUACGGGAGGCAGCAGUAAGGAAUAUUGCGCAAUGGGCGAAAGCCUGACGCAGCGACGCCGCGUGGGGGAGUGAA
This 396-nucleotide ribosomal RNA is filed under the name uncultured bacterium. RNAcentral describes it as "bacterial SSU rRNA". It matches the Rfam family "Bacterial small subunit ribosomal RNA", at positions 29 to 413 of the family's 1533-position model. The record is from RNAcentral.